This is a long non-coding RNA of Falco peregrinus (peregrine falcon), 994 nucleotides long. RefSeq lists it as uncharacterized. The record is from RefSeq and is a predicted model, not a curated record. NCBI's taxonomy places the organism in Eukaryota, Metazoa, Chordata, Aves, Falconiformes, Falconidae. The transcript has 2 exons.
GCGGUGCUCCGGCAGUAGCUGCGUGCCAGCCGCGCCGCCGGAACGGUGCCUCGGCACGCCGGUAGCUGUUCUUCAUUCACGUACGGUUACUGGCCCUGCCGGUGCCGCCAGCGGGAAGGGGAGCCAGCCUUGGCCAUUUUCUCUGCCAGCUGUCCUGUCUGCCUGAGAGCGGGUGUAUGCUUUGUUAGUUCAUUUACAUCACACGCAACUGCAGCACUAAAUUCAUGAACAGACAAGUCCACAACUUCAAGUCUAAAAGUGCUAAUGGUGGAAUAAGAAAUAAGAACUUCAGAAUGAAUCCAGCAGGAAUUUUAUCCAACUGAAUAUUGGAGUUAAGAUCUGGAACAUAGAAUGUUGCAACUGCAUAUGAAAAGACGUAACUUUUUCAUUCAAGAUUGUAUAUUUCAAUUUUUUUUUGUUAUGGAUCCAAACACAGAUACAAGAUUAGACUGAAGUAGGUCAUGAAUCUUUUCCCAUCAGAUUAUUUGAGGCAAUAGGAAUGUAACAAGAAAGUUGUUUACAGUGAAAAUCCUAACCCAAAAUUUGGCAAUAAUGAAGUCUGUCAAACGUAAAGCUUUUAUGUUAAAUUGUAAAAUCUUAAUUUUAAAUUCCAUGUAAGAUUCCAUGGUUAAAUUCUGCUUUUAUAGACAGAUGGUAGGGUUUUUUCUUUGCUUGUUUAUUAUAAAUGUACUUGAGUGCAUCUAUUCAGUUCACUGAAAAAUAUAAUUUGCAAUAUUUUAAUCCAUGAGGCUUAAUUCCUUUGCAAUCGCCAUUUCAAUGUAACAACAGAUUUCACUGUCACUAUUGCUACAAAGGGAUUAAACUCUCCCUGUCAAUUUUGUAUACUGGGCAGGAAAAAAAUGUAAUUGAAGGGUUCAGUCAGUUUUGUUUGGAAGUUUUUGUUUAUUUGUUUUUCCUAAGUGCCACCUCAUUGCAAUUCAUAUUUUCAUAAAUGUUGGAAUAUUCUUUUACCAUAAUAAAACUAUAAAAUGUU